UACGGGGGGGGCAAGCGUUGUUCGGAAUUACUGGGCGUAAAGGCUCGUAGGCGGCCAACUAAGUCGGAUGUGAAAUCCCCAGGCUUAACCUGGGAACUGCAUCCGAUACUGGAUGGCUUGAAUCCGGGAGAGGGAUGCAGAAUUCCAGGUGUAGCGGUGAAAUGCGUAGAUAUCUGGAGGAAUACCGGUGGCGAAGGCGGCAUCCUGGACCGGCAUUGACGCUGAUGAGCGAAAGCUAGGGAGCAACGGG
RNAcentral lists this ribosomal RNA (250 nucleotides) under uncultured bacterium. Its description in RNAcentral is "partial 16S ribosomal RNA". It matches the Rfam family "Bacterial small subunit ribosomal RNA", at positions 524 to 776 of the family's 1533-position model. The record is from RNAcentral.